RNAcentral lists this ribosomal RNA (253 nucleotides) under uncultured bacterium. RNAcentral's name for it is "partial 16S ribosomal RNA". It matches the Rfam family "Bacterial small subunit ribosomal RNA", at positions 524 to 776 of the family's 1533-position model. The record is from RNAcentral.
UACGAAGGGGGCUAGCGUUGCUCGGAAUCACUGGGCGUAAAGCGCACGUAGGCGGAUUGUUAAGUCAGGGGUGAAAUCCUGGAGCUCAACUCCAGAACUGCCUUUGAUACUGGCGAUCUCGAGUCCGGGAGAGGUGAGUGGAACUGCGAGUGUAGAGGUGAAAUUCGUAGAUAUGACAUAGAAUACCCAUUGCGAAGGCAGCUAACUACGCGAUAAUUGACGCUGAUGCACGAAAGCGUGGGGAUCAAACAGG